This 497-nucleotide ribosomal RNA is filed under the name uncultured bacterium. Its description in RNAcentral is "partial 16S ribosomal RNA". It matches the Rfam family "Bacterial small subunit ribosomal RNA", at positions 28 to 507 of the family's 1533-position model. The record is from RNAcentral.
GAUGAACGCUGGCGGCGUGCCUAAUACAUGCCAGUCGAGCGAACAGACGAGUUGCUUUCUCCUCUGACGUUAGCGGCGGACGGGUGAGUAACACGUGGAUAACCUCCCUAUAACACUUGGAUAACUUCGGGAAACCGGAGCUAAUACCGGGUAAUAUAUUGAACCGCAUGGCUCCCUAGUGAAAGACGGUUUUUGUGUCACUUAUAGAUGGGUUCGCACCGCAUUAGCUAGUUGGUAAGGUAACGGCUUACCAAGGCAACGAUGCGUAACCGACCUGAGAGGAGGAUCGGCCAACCGGGAACUGAGGCACGGUCAUGAUUCCUACGGGAGGAGGCAGUAGGGUAUUUGCCGCAAGGGGCGAAAGCCGGACGGAGCAACGCCGCGUGGGUGAUGACGGUCUUCGGAUCGGAUGACUCUGUGAUUAGGAAAGAAGAACUGCGGAAGUCACUAUGCACGGCUUUACGGUACCAAGACAGAAAGCCACGGCUAACUAGGUG